This 73-nucleotide transfer RNA is filed under the name Candidatus Pelagibacterales bacterium. Its description in RNAcentral is "tRNA-Ile". It matches the Rfam family "tRNA". From Rfam's summary of the family: Transfer RNA (tRNA) molecules are approximately 80 nucleotides in length. Their secondary structure includes four short double-helical elements and three loops (D, anti-codon, and T loops). The record is from RNAcentral. Lineage: Bacteria; Pseudomonadati; Pseudomonadota; Alphaproteobacteria; Candidatus Pelagibacterales.
UCUCGAUUAGCUCAGUUGGUAGAGCAGGGGUCUUAUUAACCCUUUGUCGGGGGUUCAAGUCCCCCAUUGAGAA